Molecule: unclassified non-coding RNA, 204 nt
Filed under: Hevea brasiliensis (rubber tree)
Lineage: Eukaryota; Viridiplantae; Streptophyta; Magnoliopsida; Malpighiales; Euphorbiaceae
Source: RNAcentral
AAAUGUGAGAAAUUCUUGCAUAUAUAAGUAAACCUAUCAUUAGAAGAAAUGUAAAUUUGGGAUCAGAAAUGAGUUGCAAAUCACGAUGAAAGAGAGGCACUGAAGCUCUUAGCAUUCUCAAAAGAAAUUUUGAUGGAACUCCAUUGGAAAUUAAUAGUAUUCACUAUAAUAGAUAGAAUUCCUGAUACUGAAAACUAAAACAGU